RNAcentral lists this ribosomal RNA (249 nucleotides) under uncultured bacterium. Its description in RNAcentral is "partial small subunit ribosomal RNA". It matches the Rfam family "Bacterial small subunit ribosomal RNA", at positions 26 to 287 of the family's 1533-position model. The record is from RNAcentral.
AGAACGAACGCUGGCGGCAUGCCUAACACAUGCAAGUCGAGCGCCCGUAGCAAUACGGGAGCGGCGCACGGGUGAGUAACGCGUGGGAACCUGCCCUUAGGUUCGGGACAACCGCGGGAAACUGCGGCUGAUACCGGAUGAUAUCUUUGGUAGCGAUACCAUUGAUCAAAGAUUUAUCGCCUUUGGAGGGGCCCGCGUCGGAUUAGGUAGUUGGUGAGGUAACGGCUCACCAAGCCUGCGAUCCGUAGC